This 138-nucleotide ribosomal RNA is filed under the name Acidimicrobiales bacterium. Its description in RNAcentral is "partial 16S ribosomal RNA". It matches the Rfam family "Bacterial small subunit ribosomal RNA", at positions 1 to 137 of the family's 1533-position model. The record is from RNAcentral. Lineage: Bacteria; Bacillati; Actinomycetota; Acidimicrobiia; Acidimicrobiales.
UCGACGGAGAGUUUGAUCCUGGCUCAGGACGAACGCUGGCGGCGGGCCUAACACAUGCAAGUCGAACGCACUCGACCUUCGGGUCACAUGAGUGAGUGGCGAACGGGUGAGUAACACGUGAGAAACCUGCCCCGAAGA